UACCAGCCGGGGAAGUAGCGGAGCCCUGAACCUGAAAUCCGCUAUAGCAGGGGUAGAUCCCCCGUUUGAGGGACGAUCCUUUGUGAAUGAGUCGUUUUUUCUGUGUUGAGGAAUGGGUCUUGCGCAAUCGGGAACUGUGAAUCAUGUCAGGUGGGGAACCAAGCAGCAUUAAGCGGUCAACCCGAUGUGCCGCGAGGGCGCCUGUUCUGAGCAGGGGAGACGAAGAUCGCUCGGGGGUGACUUUCG
RNAcentral lists this signal recognition particle RNA (246 nucleotides) under human gut metagenome. RNAcentral's name for it is "Bacterial large signal recognition particle RNA". It matches the Rfam family "Bacterial large signal recognition particle RNA". From Rfam's summary of the family: The signal recognition particle (SRP) is a universally conserved ribonucleoprotein involved in the co-translational targeting of proteins to membranes. Archaeal SRP consists of a 7S RNA and homologues of the eukaryotic SRP19 and SRP54 proteins. In most bacteria, the SRP consists of a 4.5S RNA and the Ffh protein (a homologue of the eukaryotic SRP54 protein). The record is from RNAcentral.